GUUAAGGUGGCAGAGCCCGGCUGAAAUGCAAAAGACCUAAGCUCUUUGGACAGGGGUUCAAAUCCUCUCCUUAACU
Molecule: transfer RNA, 76 nt
Filed under: Exyrias puntang (Puntang goby)
Lineage: Eukaryota; Metazoa; Chordata; Actinopteri; Gobiiformes; Gobiidae
Also listed under: 1 other name
Description: tRNA-Leu
Rfam family: tRNA
About the family: Transfer RNA (tRNA) molecules are approximately 80 nucleotides in length. Their secondary structure includes four short double-helical elements and three loops (D, anti-codon, and T loops). Further hydrogen bonds mediate the characteristic L-shaped molecular structure. tRNAs have two regions of fundamental functional importance: the anti-codon, which is responsible for specific mRNA codon recognition, and the 3' end, to which the tRNAs corresponding amino acid is attached (by aminoacyl-tRNA synthetases). tRNAs cope with the degeneracy of the genetic code in two manners: having more than one tRNA (with a specific anti-codon) for a particular amino acid; and 'wobble' base-pairing, i.e. permitting non-standard base-pairing at the 3rd anti-codon position.
Source: RNAcentral